UGGGGAAUAUUGCACAAUGGGCGGAAGCCUGAUGCAGCAACGCCGCGUGAGUGAUGAAGGCCUUCGGGUGUAAAGCUCUGUCUUUUGGGACGAUAAUGACGGUACCAAAGGAGGAAGCCACGGCUAAUACGUGCCAGCAGCCGCGGUAAUACGUAGGUGGCAAGCGUUGUCCGGAUUUACUGGGCGUAAAGGAUGCGUAGGCGGAUUUUUAAGUGAGAUGUGAAAACCCUAAGCUUAACUUGGGGACUGCAUUUCAUACUGGAAAUCUAGAGUGCGGGAGAGGAGAAUGGAAUUCCUAGUGUAGCGGUGAAAUGCGUAGAGAUUAGGAAGAACACCAGUGGCGAAGGCGAUUCUCUGGACCGUAACUGACGCUGAGGCAUGAAAGCGUGGGUAGCAAACAGGAUUAGAUACCCUGGUAGUCCACGCCGUAAACGAUGAGUACUAGGUGUAGGAGGUAUCGACCCCUUCUGUGCCGCAGUUAACACAAUAAGUACUCCGCCUGGGAAGUACGAUCGCAAGAUUAAAAACUCAAAAGGAAUUGAC
This 543-nucleotide ribosomal RNA is filed under the name uncultured bacterium. Its description in RNAcentral is "partial 16S ribosomal RNA". It matches the Rfam family "Bacterial small subunit ribosomal RNA", at positions 355 to 914 of the family's 1533-position model. The record is from RNAcentral.